AACGGCAUAUAUGAAUUGUGUUUCCUUCUGCCUGUUUGAGUUUUACAAACUCAAUUCUGAACCAUAUCAGUAUGAAAAAUCAUCUAACCAAAAGUAUAUAAAGAAACUUAUCAAAAGAGCACCAAAGUCUCAUCAGCAUCCAUAAACCAUACACACAAAUCACCAACCAUUCAAAAAGAAUAAAUAAGCGAAAAGGAUGAUAUAAAAGCUAGCCCAACCCAAACCCAAAGUAGCUUUUCAACUUGUAAUAUUGUUCUCAAAGCAAGCUUUAAAGGGAAAAAAAUGCUAACUCAA
RNAcentral lists this unclassified non-coding RNA (294 nucleotides) under Hevea brasiliensis (rubber tree). The record is from RNAcentral. Lineage: Eukaryota; Viridiplantae; Streptophyta; Magnoliopsida; Malpighiales; Euphorbiaceae.